Pongo pygmaeus (Bornean orangutan) is the source of this 549-nucleotide non-coding RNA. The record is from the annotation of a RefSeq genome assembly. NCBI's taxonomy places the organism in Eukaryota, Metazoa, Chordata, Mammalia, Primates, Hominidae.
AUGCACCUUGUAGGAGGCAGCUGUGAGGUCUGGUUCCCUGACAUGCUGCAGCAAGUGCCUUUGCCCUGCCUGUGGGCUCCCUCCAUGGCCAACUCUGCUAUGGACACCAGAGUCCUCUGCUGUGCGGUCAUCUGUCUUCUGGGGGCAGGUCUCUCAAAUGCCGGCGUCACACAGAACCCAAGACACCUGGUCAGGAGGAGGGGACAGGAGGCAAGACUGAGAUGCAGCCCAAUGAAAGGACACAGUUAUGUUUACUGGUAUCGACAGCUCCCAGAGGAAGGUCUGAAAUUCAUGGUUUAUCUCCAGAAAGAAAAAAUCAUAGAUGAGUCAGGAAUGCCAAAGGAACGAUUUUCUGCUGAAUUUCCCAAAGAGGGCCCCAGCAUCCUGAGGAUCCAGCAGGCAGUGCGAGGAGAUUCAGCAGCUUAUUUCUGUGCCAGCUCACCACCCACAUUGAUGCAGAGCCACAUCCUCUCAGUCCACAAACAUCCUCCAGACCUGCCUUGGAAACAGCGGUGGGCUGGGAAGGGAAACGCGUUACCUGUACAGUGA